RNAcentral lists this ribosomal RNA (245 nucleotides) under uncultured bacterium. RNAcentral's name for it is "partial small subunit ribosomal RNA". It matches the Rfam family "Bacterial small subunit ribosomal RNA", at positions 26 to 285 of the family's 1533-position model. The record is from RNAcentral.
AGGAUAAACGCUGGCGGCGUGCCUAACACAUGCAAGUCGAACGAGAAAGUGGAGCAAUCCAUGAGUAAAGUGGCGCACGGGUGAGUAACACGUGACUAACCUACCUUUUAGUGGGGGAUAACCUAGGGAAACCUGGGCUAAUACCGCAUAACACUUACGAGUCAAAGCAGCAAUGCGCUGAAAGAGGGGGUCGCGGCCGAUUAGCUAGUUGGCGGGGUAAUGGCCCACCAAGGCAGUGAUCGGUA